UUUAACUGCUUAUUGCUGUUUCACCCAGAGCAUGGCCUACCUGCUCUUGGAAACCAAGAAGGGUUGGGCCUGGUUAGUACUUGGAUGAGAGAUUGUCUGGGAAAUCCAUGGGAAUAGAUAGAU
Molecule: ribosomal RNA, 123 nt
Filed under: Amphilophus citrinellus (Midas cichlid)
Lineage: Eukaryota; Metazoa; Chordata; Actinopteri; Cichliformes; Cichlidae
Source: RNAcentral